GCGCCGGCUGGGCAUGGGCGUGCCCAGGUGGCUGUAACCCACCCGCCUCCGGCAGUGCAGGUUCGACUCCUGCCCGGCGCA
RNAcentral lists this transfer RNA (81 nucleotides) under Planctomycetaceae bacterium. Its description in RNAcentral is "tRNA-Tyr". The record is from RNAcentral. Lineage: Bacteria; Pseudomonadati; Planctomycetota; Planctomycetia; Planctomycetales; Planctomycetaceae.